GGCAACAAAUAUGGCAAUCUACUAAAAUUGGGCUGAUACAGAGAAGAUUAGCAUGGCCCCUGCACAAGGAUGACACGCAAAUUUGUGAGGCGCUCCAUACUUUU
This is a small nuclear RNA of Monodelphis domestica (gray short-tailed opossum), 104 nucleotides long. The record is from Ensembl. Lineage: Eukaryota; Metazoa; Chordata; Mammalia; Didelphimorphia; Didelphidae.